AAGUCGUAACAAGGUUUCCGUAGGUGAACCUGCGGAAGGAUCAUUAAAGAAUCGCCCCCGUUUUUUUUGAAAUGGGUUUCUAUUUCCCCAGACCGUGUUUUACAUACCUUUAGUUUGCUUUGGCAGGGCCGUGGAAACACCAUGGGCUCCGGCUUAUGCGUGCCUGCCAGAGGAAACAAACUCUGUUUUUUAGUGAUGUCUGAGUACUAUAUAAUAGUUAAAA
RNAcentral lists this unclassified non-coding RNA (223 nucleotides) under plant metagenome. RNAcentral's name for it is "partial contains small subunit ribosomal RNA and internal transcribed spacer 1". The stretch from base 1 to 46 matches the Rfam family "Eukaryotic small subunit ribosomal RNA", at positions 1786 to 1831 of the family's 1831-position model. The record is from RNAcentral.